GAUGAACGCUGGCGGCGUGCCUAAUACAUGCAAGUCGAGCGAACAGACGAGGAGCUUGCUCCUUCGACGUUAGCGGCGGACGGGUGAGUAACACGUAGGUAACCUACCUAUAAGACUGGGAUAACUUCGGGAAACCGGAGCUAAUACCGGAUAAUAUUUCGAACCGCAUGGUUCGAUAGUGAAAGAUGGCUUUGCUAUCACUUAUAGAUGGACCUGCUCCGUAUUAGCUAGUUGGUAAGGUAACGGCUUACCAAGGCAACGAUACGUAGCCGACCUGAGAGGGUGAUCGGCCACACUGGAACUGAGACACGGUCCAGACUCCUACGGGAGGCAGCAGUAGGGAAUCUUCCGCAAUGGGCGAAAGCCUGACGGAGCAACGCCGCGUGAGUGAUGAAGGUCUUCGGAUCGUAAAACUCUGUUAUUAGGGAAGAACAAACGUGUAAGUAACUGUGCACGUCUUGACGGUACCUAAUCAGAAAGCCACGGCUAACUACGUG
This 497-nucleotide ribosomal RNA is filed under the name uncultured bacterium. Its description in RNAcentral is "partial 16S ribosomal RNA". It matches the Rfam family "Bacterial small subunit ribosomal RNA", at positions 28 to 507 of the family's 1533-position model. The record is from RNAcentral.